UAGGGAAUUUUUCACAAUGAGCGAAAGCUUGAUGGAGCAAUGCCGCGUGAACGAUGAAGGUCUUUAAGAUUGUAAAGUUCUUUUAUUUGGGAAGAAUGACUUUAGCAGGUAAUGGCUAGAGUUUGACUGUACCAUUUUGAAUAAGUGACGACUAACUAUGUGCCAGCAGUCGCGGUAAUACAUAGGUCGCAAGCGUUAUCCGGAUUUAUUGGGCGUAAAGCAAGCGCAGGCGGAUUGAAAAGUCUGGUGUUAAAGGCAGCUGCUUAACAGUUGUAUGCAUUGGAAACUAUUAAUCUAGAGUGUGGUAGGGAGUUUUGGAAUUCCAUGUGGAGCGGUGAAAUGCGUAGAUAUAUGAAGGAACACCAGUGGCGAAGGCGAAAACUUAGGCCAUUACUGACGCUUAGGCUUGAAAGUGUGGGGAGCAAAUAGGAUUAGAUACCCUAGUAGUCCACACCGUAACGAUAGAUACUAGCUGUCGGGGCGAUCCCCUCGGUAGUGAAGUUAACACAUUAAGUAUCUCGCCUGGGUAGUACAUUCGCAAGAAUG
This 546-nucleotide ribosomal RNA is filed under the name uncultured bacterium. RNAcentral's name for it is "bacterial SSU rRNA". It matches the Rfam family "Bacterial small subunit ribosomal RNA", at positions 355 to 896 of the family's 1533-position model. The record is from RNAcentral.